AGCAUUGGAACCACCUGAUCCCAUCCCGAACUCAGAAGUGAAACGAUGCAUCGCCGAUGGUAGUGUGGGGUUUCCCCAUGUGAGAGUAGGUCAUCGUCAAGA
Molecule: ribosomal RNA, 102 nt
Filed under: Pseudomonas sp. Root562
Lineage: Bacteria; Pseudomonadati; Pseudomonadota; Gammaproteobacteria; Pseudomonadales; Pseudomonadaceae
Source: RNAcentral